Molecule: ribosomal RNA, 428 nt
Filed under: Pseudomonadota bacterium
Lineage: Bacteria; Pseudomonadati; Pseudomonadota
Description: Proteobacteria bacterium partial 16S ribosomal RNA
Rfam family: Bacterial small subunit ribosomal RNA
Source: RNAcentral
UGGGGAAUAUUGGACAAUGGGCGAAAGCCUGAUCCAGCCAUGCCGCGUGUGUGAAGAAGGUCUUCGGAUUGUAAAGCACUUUAAGUUGGGAGGAAGGGCAGUAAGCGAAUACCUUGCUGUUUUGACGUUACCGACAGAAUAAGCACCGGCUAACUCUGUGCCAGCAGCCGCGGUAAUACAGAGGGUGCAAGCGUUAAUCGGAAUUACUGGGCGUAAGCGCGCGUAGGUGGUUCGUUAAGUUGAAUGUGAAAGCCCCGGGCUCAACCUGGGAACUGCAUCCAAAACUGGCGAGCUAGAGUAGGGCAGAGGGUGGUGGAAUUUCCUGUGUAGCGGUGAAAUGCGUAGAUAUAGGAAGGAACACCAGUGGCGAAGGCGACCACCUGGGCUCAUACUGACACUGAGGUGCGAAAGCGUGGGGAGCAAACAGG